GACGAACGCUGGCGGCGUGCUUAACACAUGCAAGUCGUACGGAAAGGCCCUGUGCGUGGUCCACGGAUGGCGGACGGGUACGUAACACGUGAGUAAGGUGCCCACAACUUUGGGAUAACGCUAGGAAACUGGUGCUGGAACUGGCUCUGUACUCCUGCUGCAUGCUGGGGGUUGGAAAGCUACGGCGGUUGUGGCUGGUCUCGCGGCCUAGACGCUUGCUGGUUGGGUAGUGGCCUACCAAGGCGGCGUCGGGUAGCCGGCCUGCGUGGGUGACCGGCCACAUUGGGACUGAGAUACGGCCCAGACUCCUACGGGAGGCAGCAGGGGGGAAUAUUGCACAAUGGGCGCAAGCCUGAUGCAGCAACGCCGCGUGCGGGAUGACGGCCUUCGGGUUGUAAACCGCUUUCAGCAGGGACGAAGCUUUUUGUGACGGUACCUGUAGAAGAAGCACCGGCUAACUACGU
This 464-nucleotide ribosomal RNA is filed under the name uncultured bacterium. RNAcentral describes it as "partial 16S ribosomal RNA". It matches the Rfam family "Bacterial small subunit ribosomal RNA", at positions 28 to 506 of the family's 1533-position model. The record is from RNAcentral.